This 468-nucleotide ribosomal RNA is filed under the name uncultured bacterium. RNAcentral's name for it is "partial 16S ribosomal RNA". It matches the Rfam family "Bacterial small subunit ribosomal RNA", at positions 28 to 507 of the family's 1533-position model. The record is from RNAcentral.
GACGAACGCUGGCGGCGUGCUUAACACAUGCAAGUCGAACGGAAAGGCCCUGCUUUUGUGGGGUGCUCGAGUGGCGAACGGGUGAGUAACCCGGGAGUAACCUGCCCUUGACUUUGGGAUAACUUCAGGAAACUGGUGCUAAUACCGGAUAGGAGCUCCUGCUGCAUGGUGGGGGUUGGAAAGUUUCGGCGGUUGGGGAUGGACUCGCGGCUUAUUAGCUUGUUGGUGGGGUAGUGGCUUACCAAGGCUUUGACGGGUAGCCGGCCUGAGAGGGUGACCGGCCACAUUGGGACUGAGAUACGGCCCAGACUCCUACGGGGGGCAGCAGUGGGGAAUAUUGCACAAUGGGCGGAAGCCUGAUGCAGCAACGCCGCGUGCGGGAUGACGGCCUUCGGGUUGUAAACCGCAUUCGCCUGUGACGAAGCGUGAGUGACGGUAAUGGGUAAAGAAGCACCGGCUAACUACGUG